Molecule: long non-coding RNA, 2125 nt
Organism: Oncorhynchus tshawytscha (Chinook salmon)
Lineage: Eukaryota; Metazoa; Chordata; Actinopteri; Salmoniformes; Salmonidae
Source: Ensembl
UCAUUGUGCAGUGUGGUCAUUGUGGACUGUGGUCAUUGUGCAGUGUGGUCAUUGUACACUGUGGUCAUUGUGCAGUGUGGUCAUUGUGCAGUGUGGUCAUUGUGCACUGUGGUCAUUGUACACUAUGGUCAUUGUGCAGUGUGGUCAUUGUGCAGUGUGGUCAUUGUGCACUGUGGUCAUUGUACACUAUGGUCAUUGUGCAGUGUGGUCAUUGUGCAGUGUGGUCAUUAUACACUGGUCACUGUACACUGUGGUCAUUGUGCAGUGUGGUCAUUAUACACUGUAGUCAUUGUGCAGUGUGGUCAUUGUGGACUGUGGUCAUUGUGCAGUGUGGUCAUUAUACACUGUUGUCAUUGUUCAGUGUGGUCAUUGUGCAGUGUGGUCAUUAUACACUGUUAUCAUUGUGCAGUGUGGUCAUUGUGUACUGUGGUCAUUGUGGACUGUGGUCACUGUGCAGUGUGGUCAUUGUGGACUGUGGUCAUUGUACGGUGUGGUAAUUGUACACUGUGGUCAUUGUACACUGUGAUCAUUGUACACUGUGGUCAUUGUACACUGUGAUCAUUGUGGACUGUGGUCAUUGUACGGUGUGGUAAUUGUACACUGUGGUCAUUGUGCAGUGUGGUCAUUAUACACUGUAGUCAUUGUGCAGUGUGGUCAUUGUGGACUGUGGUCAUUGUGCAGUGUGGUCAUUGUACACUGUUGUCAUUGUGCAGUGUGGUCAUUGUGCAGUGUGGUCAUUAUACACUGUUAUCAUUGUGCAGUGUGGUCAUUGUGUACUGUGGUCAUUGUGGACUGUGGUCAUUGUGCAGUGUGGUCAUUGUGUACUGUGGUCAUUGUGGACUGUGGUCAUUGUGCAGUGUGGUCAUUGUGGACUGUGGUCAUUGUACGGUGUGGUAAUUGUACACUGUGGUCAUUGUACACUGUGAUCAUUGUACACUGUGGUCAUUGUACACUGUGAUCAUUGUGGACUGUGGUCAUUGUACGGUGUGGUCAUUGUACACUGUGGUCAUUGUACACUGUGAUCAUUGUGGACUGUGGUCAUUGUACGGUGUGGUAAUUGUACACUGUGGUCAUUGUGCAGUGUGGUCAUUGUGGACUGUGGUCAUUGUACACUGUGGUCAUUGUACACUGUGGUCAUUGUACACUGUGAUCAUUGUGGACUGUGGUCAUUGUACGGUGUGGUAAUUGUACACUGUGGUCAUUGUACACUGUGAUCAUUGUGGACUGUGGUCAUUGUACGGUGUGGUAAUUGUACACUGUGGUCAUUGUGGACUGUGGUCAUUGUACACUGUGUACAUUGUGGACUGUGGUCAUUGUACAUGAUGGGUAUUGAACACGGUGGUCUUUGUACACAGUGUACAUUGUGGACUGUGGUCAUUGUGGACUGUGGUCAUUGUACACUGUGGUCUAUGUGCAGUGUGGUCAUUGUACACUGUGAUCAUUGUGGACUGUGAUCAUUGUGGACUGUGGUCAUUGUGGACUUGGGGUUGGACAGGUCCACUGCUUUAUUACUGAGCAGGACAAAAUUUGGAUGACCCAGUAUUCCUGAGGGAGGAGAACAAUGAGAGAGAAAGAGUUGAAGACUCUAUGCUAUAUAUGCUGUAUGCUAUAUAUGCUAUAUGCCCUAUUUGCUGUUUCCGAGGUCAGUUUAGCAUUUCCUCCAGUAAUUGUUAAGGUGAGGAUUGGGGUAGGGGGAUCUGAUCCUAGAUCUGUACCUAAGGGAACCUUCACCAGGAGCGUGUAUGGAUGUCAUGUGGCUUGAAAAAAGGUUUACAUUAAAUGAUAGCCAUUUAGCAGACUUUGUUAUACGGAACAACUCGAUUUAAGUGCCUUGCCUAAUCGAGGACACAUCAGAUUCUUCAUCUUGUCGAUUCAGGGAUUCAAACCAGCAACCUUUUUAGUUACUGGCUCAACGCUCUUUACUGCUUGGCUACCUGCGGCCCUAUCAAAUCAAAUCAAAUUUUAUUUGUCACAUACACAUGGUUAGCAGAUGUUAAUGCGAGUGUAGCGAAAUGCUUGUGCUUCUAGUUCCGACAAUGCAGUAAUAACGAACAAGUAAUCUAACUAACAAUUCCAAAAAAACUACUGUCUUAUACACAGUGUAAGGGGAUAAAGAAUAUGUACA